AACAGUAAGUGUUUAAUUAUGGCACAUCUGGAUGGGUAUCUAGGAAUUUAACACAUGCAAGUCUAAUGAUUCAUCUUGAGUCAUGGCGUACAGGUCAGUAAUAUAUAGGAAGAUACCCCAAGAAUCAUGCUAAUCAUGAAUAUAACAAAAGAGUAUAUAACUCGUCUUGGGAUUUGCCUAUAUCCUAACAGGUAGUUGGUGAGGUAAUGCUUAACAAGCCUACGAGGGGUAGAAGAGGAUGAAAGUCCUACAUUCGACAUUGGAAAUGAAAAAGUCCAAAGCAUCUCAUGGUGCGCAGCAGUGAAGAAUAUUGGUCAAUGCACUAAAGUGUGAACCAGUUACCUAGAUUCGGGGAAACUCGAUGUAAGAAUAAUGAAUGAUGAUCAUAUUCCUAUUAGUCCUGUCAAAAUUCUGUGCCAGCAGACGCGGUAAGACAGAAAGGGCAACCCAUCAGAGUUUUGAAUAGGUGUAAAGGAUACGUAGCCUGUGAUAAUUAUCACUAGAGUCAAAUAGAGGAACUAACAAUACCUAGAGAAGGGAUGAUAUCUUAUGAUACUAGGGGGAGAACCAAUGGCGAAAGCAUAGUUCCAGGUAAUGACUGACGGUAAGGUAUGAAGGCUGAGGCAGGAAUAAGGAUUAGAUACCCUAGUACUCUCAGCUGUAAACGAUGUAGAUUAGAGAUAUGUCUGAUUAGAUAUGUCUCCAUGCAAACGCGAUAAAUCUACCACCUGUAGAGUAUAGUCCCAUGGCUGAAAUACAAAUAAUUAGACGGUCUGUGAGCAAACGGAGUGGAGCAUGUUAUUUAAUACGAUAAUCCGCGUAAAAUCUUACCACAUCUUGCAUACGAUGAUAUCACUCCUAAGAGUGCAUCAGUACAGGUGUUGCAUGGCUGUCGCCAGCUCGUGUCAGUGAGACGUAUGGUUAAUUCCGUUAAACGAGCGCAAUCCUCGCCAUGAUUAUAAAGAUUCAUGGUCUCAUUCUGAUAAAGAAUGAUUUUAGGAGGACUAUGACAAGCCCUCAUGGCCCUUAUGGUGUGGGCUAUAGACGUGCUACAAGAAGACUGACAAUGUGUUGCAAUAUCGAAAGAUGGAGCCAAUCACCUAAAAAGUCUUAUUAUACGAAUUGUAUGCUGGAACUCGCGUACAUGAAGCAGGAAUUCCGAGUAAUCGUAGAUCACCACGCUACGGUGAAACUCAAUCUCACGGAUGUACUAACCGCUCGUCACGGGAGGAGAGACUUAUAACUAUGAAGUAGCAAUAGUAUUACUUUACUAAAGAUCCUUAUGAUCAGAUUAUUCAGCCGCUAGGUUUAAGUAAAUAUUAUAAUGUGUUACGAAUAGUCUCGGUUGAUUCUUCUGAAGUCGAAACAAGGUGACUCUUAGGGAACUAGGAGUCGAUUAAUAACUAUU
This 1408-nucleotide ribosomal RNA is filed under the name Tremella fuciformis. RNAcentral describes it as "SSU rRNA". It matches the Rfam family "Bacterial small subunit ribosomal RNA". Lineage: Eukaryota; Fungi; Basidiomycota; Tremellomycetes; Tremellales; Tremellaceae. The record is from RNAcentral.